RNAcentral lists this ribosomal RNA (790 nucleotides) under Minibiotus intermedius group sp. MC-2011. RNAcentral's name for it is "SSU rRNA". It matches the Rfam family "Eukaryotic small subunit ribosomal RNA", at positions 102 to 892 of the family's 1831-position model. The record is from RNAcentral. Lineage: Eukaryota; Metazoa; Tardigrada; Eutardigrada; Parachela; Macrobiotidae.
UAAAUCAGUUAUGGUUCACUAGAUCGUAUAUUUUACACGGAUAACUGUGGUAAUUCUAGAGCUAAUACGUGCAAUCAGCUCGUUGCCUUGUGUAGCGAGCGCAGUUAUUAGAACAAGACCAAUCCGGCCUUCUGGUCGGUUAAAUUGGUGACUCUGAAUAACCGAAGCGGAGCGCAUGGUCUCGUACCGGCGCCAGAUCUUUCAAGUGUCUGACUUAUCAGCUUGUUGUUAGGUUACGUUCCUAACAAGGCUUUUACGGGUGACGGGGUAUCAGGGUCCGAUACCGGAGAGGGAGCCUGAGAAACGGCUACCACAUCCAAGGAAGGCAGCAGGCGCGCAAAUUACCCACUCCCGGCACGGGGAGGUAGUGACGAAAAAUAACGAUGCGAGGGCUCUAUGCUUCUCGUAAUCGGAAUGGGUACACUUUAAAUCCUUUAACGAGGAUCUAUUGGAGGGCAAGUCUGGUGCCAGCAGCCGCGGUAAUUCCAGCUCCAAUAGCGUAUAUUAAAGUUGCUGCGGUUAAAAAGCUCGUAGUUGGAUCUGGGCAGUUGGACGGAUGGUGCGUUUUACGACGCUACUAUCUGUUCGGCGCCACAAGCCGGCCAUGUCUUGCAUGCUCUUCACUGAGUGUGCUUGGCGACCGGAACGUUUACUUUGAAAAAAUUAGAGUGCUCAAAGCAGGCGUACGGCCUUGCAUAAUGGUGCAUGGAAUAAUGGAAUAGGACCUCGGUUCUAUUUUGUUGGUUUUCGGAACUCGAGGUAAUGAUUAAUAGGAACAGACGGGGGCAUU